RNAcentral lists this small RNA (82 nucleotides) under Marmota monax (woodchuck). The record is from RNAcentral. Lineage: Eukaryota; Metazoa; Chordata; Mammalia; Rodentia; Sciuridae.
GCCGGGCGCAGUGGUGCACACCUGUAAUCCCAGUGGCUUGGAGGCUGAGGCAGGAGAAUCAUGAGUUCAAAGCCAGCCUCAG